This 1473-nucleotide ribosomal RNA is filed under the name Triticum aestivum (bread wheat). RNAcentral describes it as "partial small subunit ribosomal RNA". The record is from RNAcentral. Lineage: Eukaryota; Viridiplantae; Streptophyta; Magnoliopsida; Poales; Poaceae.
AUGGACGGCCAGGCUUCACACCCCGUCGCCGUCGCACCCGAAUCCCUGCCGCAGCCACCUCCGCAUCUGGAGACGGAGGCGGAGGAUGACCCCGUCGUCGUCCCCGACGCCUCCGAUGCCGCUUCUUCGGAGCCUUCCAAGGUCGGCGCCCUUUCGACGUCGCCUCUUAUUAAGGCGGAGGACGACCCGGUCGUCGUCCCCGACUCCGUCGAACUCGCUUCUUCGGAGGCCUCCGUGGUUAGCGCAGGUGGUGUAGUGCCGCCGCCACCGCCGUCGCGGCCUCUUGAUGCGGAGGAGGAUUCCCUCAUCGUCCCCGACACUUCCGAGGCCGUUCCUUCGGAGGCCACCAAUGUUGGCACAGGUAGCGUGGUGCCCCUGUUACCAUCUCCACCUCUUGAGGCGGAGGACGACCCCCUCAUCGUCCCCGUUAUUGAUGCCUCUUCGGAGGCCUCCGACGUGGUUACCUCUGGUGUCGUGCUUACGGACGAGCUCCGUGACAAGAUAGUUAAACAGGUGGAGUACUACUUCAGUGAUGAGAAUCUUCCCACAGAUGAGUUUAUGUUGAAAUUUGUGAUGAAGAACAAGGAGGGCCUUGGUAAUGUUCCGCUUGGAGUUAUUGCAUCAUUCAGGAAAAUGAAGAAACUUGUUCAGGACCACUCGACAAUUGAAGCUGCCCUUAGGACAUCAUCCAAGCUGGUUGUGAGCUCUAAUGGGAAAAGGGUCAGAAGGUUACAUCCCUUACCAUGCAAUGAAUUGAAAGACGUGAAGAAAAGGACUGUUGUGGUGGAAAAUCUACCUCUGGAUUUCGCCCUGGAGAGUGUACAGGAGAAAUUUGGAUCAGUUGGCAAGAUUAUGAAGAUAACCAUCCAUGAUCCACAUGCAGUUGGUGAAUCUGCAGCAUCGAAGAAGCCUGACUUCAUGUUGAGUAAUAAGGUACAUGCCAUUGUUGAGUAUGAAGCAGUGGAGGCAGCUGAGAAGGCUGUGGCAACCUUAAACGAUGAGAGGAACUGGAGAACUGGGAUGAGAGUCAUACUCCUGGCUAAACGAAGUGUAGUGGGAUCAGGAAAGAAUAUCCAGUCUUCAAAAGAAAAUCAUGGCACAUGUUUGAGAAAGAACAACGAGGGCCAGUUUUCAAAAGAAGUACAGCAGUCGGUAUCAGAAAAAAAUGGUGGUGCUGAUUCAGGAGAGGUUGCUUCAGAUAAGGAGAAUGUGAACUCUGAUGUUAACCAUGAGGAAGUGCGCCAACACCAAAGGGCAAAUGCUAGCGGUGGUCGAAAAGGCAGAUACAGAAGCCAAGGAAAAGGUCUGAGUGGACAAGGGCAUGGCUCAUCCCCUACUAUUCCUGGUUCUGACUCUGCAAACAAGCCUAUUUCUGGGCCAAGAAUGCCGGAUGGAACAAGGGGCUUCACAAUGGGGCGCGGGAGAUCGCUUCCACUUCCGAAAGCCGAGAAGGCCCAGAAGACUGAGGAAUAG